This 491-nucleotide ribosomal RNA is filed under the name uncultured bacterium. Its description in RNAcentral is "partial 16S ribosomal RNA". It matches the Rfam family "Bacterial small subunit ribosomal RNA", at positions 29 to 506 of the family's 1533-position model. The record is from RNAcentral.
AGUGAACGCUGGCGGCAUGCCUAACACAUGCAAGUCGAACGGCAGCACAGUAAGAGCUUGCUCUUACGGGUGGCGAGUGGCGGACGGGUGAGGAAUACAUCGGAAUCUACUUUUUCUUGGGGGAUAACGUAGGGAAACUUACGCUAAUAGCGCAUAUGACCUACGGGUGAAAGCAGGGGAUCUUCGGACCUUGCGCGAUUGUAUGAGCCGAUGUCGGAUUAGCUAGUUGGUGGGGUAAAGGCCCACCAAGGCGACGAUCCGUAGCUGGUCUGAGAGGAUGAUCAGCAACCCGGGAGAGGAGACACGCUCCAAACUCCUACGGGAGGCACCGGUGGGAAAUAUUCGAGAGGGAGCGGAAGCGUAUACCAGACAUACCGGGUAGGUGAAAAAGACCUACGGGUUGUAAACCCCUUUUGUAGGGAAAGAAAAGCAGCAGGUUAAUUCCGCACUGUUCGAACGGAACCCAGAGAAUAGACACCGGCAAAUUCCGU